CCCUAAUACCGGAUACGCUCUUUUUAACAUAAGUUAGAAAGAAGAAAGAUGGCCUCUCCUUGGAAGCUAUUGCUUGAAGAUGAGUUUGCGUACCAUUAGCUAGUUGGUGGGGUAAGAGCCUACCAAGGCCACGAUGGUUAGCGGGUCUGAGAGGAUGAUCCGCCACACUGGAACUGAAACACGGACCAGACUCCUACGGGAGGCAGCAGUGAGGAAUUUUGCGCAAUGGGGGAAACCCUGACGCAGCGACGUCGCGUGGACGAUGAAGGCCUUAGGGUUGUAAAGUCCUGUCAGAAGGGAAGAAAUGCAUAUAGGCUAAUACCUUAUAUGUUUGACGGUACCUUCAAAGGAAGCACCGGCUAACUCCGUGCCAGCAGCCGCGGUAAUACGGAGGGUGCAAGCGUUAAUCGGAAUUACUGGGCGUAAAGGGCGCGUAGGCGGCCUGUCAAGUCAGAUG
RNAcentral lists this ribosomal RNA (457 nucleotides) under uncultured bacterium. RNAcentral's name for it is "bacterial SSU rRNA". It matches the Rfam family "Bacterial small subunit ribosomal RNA", at positions 161 to 594 of the family's 1533-position model. The record is from RNAcentral.